GCGAGAUGCUGGAUGGCUAUCGGCACCUCAGGUGCUGAGGAAACUCCGCCCACGCCGUGGCACCAGAGCACCGUAACGGUGCAUGGCGAGAGCCAUGCUCCUGGCACAGAAACGAGGCACGGAAGGGCAUAUGAGGGGGAGACCAAGCGGUUGACGAGCCCUUGCCGUGGUGAAAUGGCCAGCCUCUGGCGUGCAAGGGCAAGCAUCACCAAUGAGAGCCACGGGGAGGUGAAGGUAGCCCGCUUAGUUAAAUGCCAUCUAGAACAGAAGGCGGGUUACGGGCAUCACGC
This 290-nucleotide RNase P RNA is filed under the name Thermoproteati archaeon. Its description in RNAcentral is "TACK group archaeon RNase P RNA component". It matches the Rfam family "Archaeal RNase P". Rfam says of the family: Ribonuclease P (RNase P) is a ubiquitous endoribonuclease, found in archaea, bacteria and eukarya as well as chloroplasts and mitochondria. Its best characterised activity is the generation of mature 5'-ends of tRNAs by cleaving the 5'-leader elements of precursor-tRNAs. Cellular RNase Ps are ribonucleoproteins. The record is from RNAcentral. RNAcentral also lists the same sequence under 1 other name. Lineage: Archaea; Thermoproteati.